AGUGCGCCAAAUCAAAUGUGACCAAGGCACCAACUUUGUAGGAGCCAAGAAUGAGCUGAAAAAUGCCCUCAAGGAGAUUGACGCUGAUCGUCUGACAGUGUUCUUAGCUGAGAAGCAGUGUGACAUUGUCCUAAAUGCGCCCCAUUCAAGUCAUGCAGGUGGGGUAUGGGAGAGACAAAUCAGAACAGUGAGAAAUGUUCUUCGCUCAACUCUCUCACUCUCUUCUGACAAACUGGACGAUGCAUCACUGCGGACAUUCUUUUCUGAAGCUAUGGCGAUCGUAAACAGUAGACCACUAACGGUUGACAACCUAAACGACCCCAACAGCCUUGCACCUCUCACCCCUAAUAACCUGCUUACUAUGAAGUCUGUUCCAGCAUUACCACCACCAGGCAGAUUCAUCAGAGAAGACAUCUAUGCAAGAAAAAGGUGGCGUCAUGUUCAGUACCUCGCAGAGCAGUUUUGGAGUCGCUGGCGUAGGGAGUAUCUUUCCAACAUUGCCACCAGGCAGCGCUGGCACAGAGCAAAGAGAAACCUGCGAGUAGGAGAUAUUGUGAUGGAAAAGGCUGAUGGUCUGCCUAGAAAUGAGUGGCGGCUGGCCAGAGUUACAGAGACUACUACAGAUAAAGACGGGCUUGUAAGAAGAGUCAAAGUAUGCCUUGGUGACCGGAAUCUGGAGAAGGAUGGUCGUCGUCUCAACAAGCUGUCUGUCAUUGAACGCCCAGUCCAGAAGCUGAUACUGUUGCUAGAGACCGUCUAACUGCUUCCAGUAGCAACCAAGUGUAUCCUUUUCAUUAUAUUACUUAAAUUCUAGCAUUCAUUCAACAUAGUAUGGGCACUUUUCGUCCGUUUCUGAGUUAAAGGUCAUUUUUUAAAAUUUAAAAAUCAUUUGUAAUUUAUAUUUCUUAACGUCAUACAAAUCCCUCAUGAUUUGGUGGGAGUGUAAAUGACCAUUGAAUCCCCAAUCACUGAAGUAGGUCGUCAUCUUUACCUCCAACCAUAGAGGGCAGUGUUGCCAUGGAACUCCUGAGAAAGGCUUUCACAAGAAAGGACUUUAUUAUUGAACUUGAACCAAAUGUUACUUUGUUUGUUUUUGGUUGACUAAUAAUUCUUGCUGCAUACUUAAUGUGGACAUUGUAUUUUUAUUUGUUUUAUUAAGUGUACAUUUUUUACCUCACAUGCUUUUAUUUUGAAGUCUGGAAAAGGAAGUGCAGCAGCACUCUUUGUGUACAUUGGCGCUCUUUUUACGUGAAGCGCCAUUCUGAUUUAACGUUAAGAGAGAAAGGAUAAACCCUUGGGUACUCACUGUACAAAUGUUUGUUUUAAAAAGGUUUCUUUCUACAUCUUAGCUCCUGGCUGAAGGGCACAAGCUCUUACGGUGUUUUUGGAAAUUAAAUUCUUUAUAAACAUCAGUUCCUGAGAGUAAGAUGCAUCUGUUCAGCCGGGAAUGCUACAGUCAUAGUGUGUCUUCCACCACAGCUUCAGCAGCGCAGUAGCUGAGCCGCUGCGCUAGACAAGGCUGGCCUGUGACCCAGCAACAUAUCGAUCCAGACAGUCAAACCAG
This is a long non-coding RNA of Siniperca chuatsi (mandarin fish), 1564 nucleotides long. RefSeq lists it as uncharacterized. The record is from RefSeq and is a predicted model, not a curated record. The transcript is spliced from 2 exons. NCBI's taxonomy places the organism in Eukaryota, Metazoa, Chordata, Actinopteri, Centrarchiformes, Sinipercidae.